Acanthopagrus latus (yellowfin seabream) is the source of this 4768-nucleotide RNA transcript. It is a transcript of the gene named ras homolog family member T1a, with no coding region annotated. The record is from RefSeq and is a predicted model, not a curated record. Lineage: Eukaryota; Metazoa; Chordata; Actinopteri; Spariformes; Sparidae. The transcript is spliced from 21 exons.
GUUUGUCCUGUGCGACUCCCCGUAGUUGCCGGGUAGUGGAGGUCGGGCAUGCCCAUGAAACAUCCAAUGCGAAAUGCUAUGAAGGCGCCGAAAAGACUGCGAUUAACCUGAAAUUGCAGAGAAAUGUGCCACCAACUGCUUUUCAUAUCGCCUUCCUGCUGAGCUGAUAAGUCGCAAGUUGAGAAGGAGCGCGUAGAAAACACGAAGGAGCACAGAAAACUGUCCGUCCGUUUUGCCCUACAAAGGCGCCGAGAGUUUGACAGCGGCAGGACUCCAGUGCGCAGGCCUGACGUUAGGUAAACUGCUGGAGGGGACGGUUCAUCCAGAGGACUACAUGAAACAAUAAAGACAGUCCUUUCUGAAGAGGGAAGCAAGCUAAAACAUGAGGAAGGACGUGAGGAUACUACUUGUAGGGGAACCCAAGGUGGGGAAGACAUCACUGAUAAUGUCUCUGGUCAGUGAGGAGUUUCCUGAUGAGGUUCCUCUGCGAGCUGAAGAGAUCACCAUCCCAGCUGAUGUCACCCCGGAGAGGGUGCCCACACAUAUUGUGGAUUACUCAGAAGCUGAACAGUCAGAUGAGCAGCUGUACCAAGAAAUAUCAAAGGCAAAUGUUAUCUGCAUAGUCUACUCAGUCAACAACAAGAAGUCCAUUGAAAAGGUGACAAGCCACUGGAUCCCCCUCAUAACUGACAGGACGGACAAGGACAGCAGGGUACCAUUGAUCCUUGUGGGUAACAAGUCGGACCUAGUAGAACACAGCAGCAUGGAGACCAUCUUGCCAAUCAUGAAUCAAUACCAGGAUAUUGAGACUUGUGUAGAGUGUUCUGCCAAAAACCUGAAGAACAUUUCUGAGCUCUUCUACUACGCCCAGAAGGCUGUUCUCCACCCGACAGGACCCCUGUACUGCCCAGAGGAGAAGGAGUUGAAGCCCUCCUGCAUUAAGGCUCUAACUAGAAUCUUUAAAGUGUCUGACCUGGACAACGACGGCAUCCUUAAUGACAAUGAGCUCAACUUCUUCCAGAGGACGUGUUUCAAUACACCACUGGCACCUCAGGCCUUAGAGGAUGUAAAGAAUGUUGUCCGGAGGAACAUGAAUGAUGGAGUCAAGGACAAUGGACUCACACUCAAAGGCUUUCUGUUCUUGCACACCCUCUUCAUACAGCGAGGUCGACACGAGACCACCUGGACUGUGCUCCGGAGGUUUGGUUAUGACGAUGACCUGGAGCUCACACAGGAAUACCUGUUUCCUUUGAUAAAGAUCCCCCCAGACUGUACCACAGAGCUUAACCACAAUGCUUACCUCUUCCUCCAGAGUGUCUUUGACAAACAUGACAAAGACAGAGAUUGUGCGCUGUCGCCAGACGAGGUGAAGGACUUGUUCAAAGUCUUUCCCUACAUGCCCUGGGGUCCAGAUGUCAACAACACGGUUUGCACUAACGACCAGGGAUGGAUCACAUACCAGGGAUACCUCUCCCAGUGGACGUUAACAACAUAUCUAGAUGUGCAGCGUAGUUUGGAGUACUUGGGUUACCUAGGCUACUCUAUCAUCUAUGAACAGGAGUCCCAAGCAGCUGCCAUAACAGUGACACGUAACAAGCGCAUUGAUCUGCAGAAGAAACAGACCCAGCGCAGUGUCUUCCGCUGCAACGUCCUGGGGGCUCGGGGCAGUGGGAAGAGUGGCUUCCUCCAAGCUUUCCUGGGCAGGAAUCUGCAGCAACAGAGGCGAAUUAGAGAAGACCACAAGUCCUUGUAUGCCAUCAGCACGACCUAUGUUUAUGGUCAGGAGAAGUACCUGCUGCUCCAUGAGGUGAUGCCAGAUUUUGACUUCCUGUCAGAGGCAGACCUAGCCUGUGAUGUGGUUUGCCUGGUGUAUGACAUUAACAAUCCUCGCACUUUUGAAUACUGUGCCAAAGUGUACAAGCAAUAUUUCAUAGACAGCAAGACACCAUGCGUGGUGAUUGCAGCCAAGUCGGACCUGCAUGAAGUACGGCAGCAUUACAGUCUAUCACCGCAGGACUUCUGCCGUAAGCACAAGCUCCACCCACCCCAGCCCUUCACGUGCAACACGACCGACGCACUUAGCAAAGACAUCUACACUAGACUCACCACCAUGGCCAUGUAUCCCCAUGCCCGUCUCCGCUGUAUGUGCACCUGCAACAGGUGCACCUAUUGCCUGUGUCAGAACCUCCUCAAGUUGGAGCUGCUGCGCAAUAUUAAGGCCCAACUCCGCAGGGUCGUUUUCAACAGCUCCAGCCAGCCUACCAGCUCUCUGUACAGUUUGACACAGCGAAGUGUGACCAUGCUCAACCAGCUAACACACAGGCUGCUAGCCAGGCAGGUGACAGUGUGUCUGAAACCGUGUGAAACAUGCAUGAUGUAUUUGCUUUUGCAGUGCAAACUUGACUCAUAAUACUGAUUACUAUACAUAACACAAACAUAUUGUUAAAUUAGAAAUACAAGUUGUAAAUUGGAAACAUUUUCACUUCAUCCAGAGGCAUGAUGCAAUUUUCUAUUCUUAAAAAUUCAAACUAUAUUAAUAUUUGUAUCUACAGUUUCAAACUAGUAUACACCAGAUCUUUCUUUUCGUUAGAGGUUUUGUGUUUGCUCCUUCCUGUCCUGCAGUGGAUAUGCAAACUGUAAAUCUUGACUAACAAGCAUAUCAUUUGCAUUGAUAAUGAGAGAAACACAACCACUCUCUUUGGCUUGUGCUUCAAACUGAAAACCUCAUUGAAGUCUGCAUGUCUGCAUGUUUGCUAUGUGAUUUCUUUUAAAUUACAUAAAAUUAUUACAAUUCCCCAUGUCUAUUUAUUUCUUGACAGCACCAACUUUCAUCAGUUCUCAGAGUGCUUAAGUAUCUAUGAUGUUUUCAGUCUCGAUUUGUCUUCAUUUCCAUGCUUUACUCCGAAGUCUACACCAACAGGAGACUCUUUAUUUUGAAAAACACAGUUGUUCCUUUAAUCAUAUGCUUACUGUGCUUCUCCUAAAAUAAAAGCUCCUGUGCGUUUAGACUUCAUACAUUUAACAGGCUGAUGUUCAAAAUCAAAUUGUUCAUCUUUGAUGUUUAAAUUGAGUGUAUUGCACUGUACCAAUCACCCUGUCAUUUCACCCUGUUUUUCCUAUCUUGUAUUUCCUGUCUUUGUGUUUUUCCUUCCACUCUGUAGGUGUUCAUACACAAGUUUUUGGCUGCCCCUCUCCCUCAUUCUCUUGCAUGUUUUCACCCUCAGCUAAGCUGCUCGCUGCUAUGUUGCAUGGCUCAUGUGUUCUGUCUUGGUAACCAGUGGCGUGCCUUAGCAAAAUAUUGCCAUCUACUGGCAGCUGGGGAUAUGUUUCUCAUCUGUCCAUCUGUACAGUAAAGAGAGCUUGGUGUUUUGAAUAAGAUGUGGGAGGUUUACUGCUCCACAGUGCAGGGUUUUAAUGGCUAUUUACGGUGUUGGAUUUUACAAAAGUGUGUGAUUUUUGGCAAAUAAGUGAUUAUUAUUUUUGAUUUUUUUUUUUUCAGCCUAAAGUGGCAUAAAAUGCAGGGCUUCUGGUUUGGUGUUCAUGUACCCUAGCAGAACUGCAUAUUGAAGUUCUGCAUCGAGUACUAACUUUGCGUUGAUGCCUGUUUAAUCUCUGGGAGUUGUUGACACUAUUAAUAGCAUGACGCAUAAUAGACGGCCCUGGCAGUGCAAGGAGCAACACACCACAUUGGAUGCCCAACGUGUUAAAUGAAAAGUGGUGCUGGUUGAUUGGGUUGAAUUGUGUUGUUUAAUUUUACAGUAAAUUACUUCUUCAGUCACAAAUUACACGCAGAAAUAGCUAAUUGUGUCAGGCCACUUAAAAAAAAAAAAAGAAAAAAAAAUCAGAAAUGUGAAGGUCAGUUCAGAGGAAUUAAAAAUGUAGUCUUAUGAUAUUUACAUCCUAAAAUGACUCGGCAUCUCCAGUCUGGCUGCCAUGUGGUGUGUGCAGUAUGUAUAUGUAUAUGUGAUGUGUGUUAGAAGUGUGCGGUGACAUUUGAACAGGUAUGCAGUCAUGGUUGAGCUUGUGCUUUGGGUUUGGGCGGUGAUUGGAGUUCCCCUCUUUUCGGACUGGGUAGAGCUGGGUGUUACGGAUGAGUUCAGAUAUCACAAUGUUUUUGGUGUAAUUAUUGAUACUUAAACAAACCAUUUAAUUUAAACUAAUGAAAUUUCACCUGCCUAAGAAUCAUUAGUAAUGUUUCCAAGAAAGACAUUAAAAAACAUUUCAUGAAAAGCUUUUUCAUAUAUUUGUUUCAUAUAUAUAUUAAACUUAAAUUUAUUAGCAUGUCGACUGACACAAAACAUUUUUACAUUUUAUAGACCACCAUGAAAAAUUGAUUAAUCAACCAGUGUGUCAGUCGCUAUUGCAGCCGUAGUCAGUAUUAUGCUGAAAUAUUUCCCAGCUCUACCUGCUGAAUUGGAGUGUGUUUGUGUGUAUGGGCAUACCACUGGUAACAGUAUGACUGGGUGCGUGUGUUAUUUGUGUGGAAGGCUGUUGGGCUGGGUGGAAGCUGUGGGGGGCUGCCUGCUGUCAGAGGAGGAUUUCAGCCUGACGCAGCAGGUUUCAGCCAUCUCCAACGUGGAGGGGUCCAUCUUUAUGGAGGCCUCUGCAGAGCAGCUAAAUCUCCCAGAAAGGCACAUGGCUCAGGCGGACCUGAAAAACUCCACCUUCUGGCUGAGAGCGAGCGUAGGGGCCACAGUGUGUGCUGUGCUGGGCUUCGCCAUGUACAGAGCGCUUCUCAAACAGCGAUGAUGAGACAGCAUGAGACUUC